UGGGGAAUAUUGCACAAUGGGCGCAAGCCUGAUGCAGCCAUGCCGCGUGUAUGAAGAAGGCCUUCGGGUUGUAAAGUACUUUCAGCGGGGAGGAAGGCGUUAAGGUUAAUAACCUUGGCGAUUGACGUUACCCGCAGAAGAAGCACCGGCUAACUCCGUGCCAGCAGCCGCGGUAAUACGGAGGGUGCAAGCGUUAAUCGGAAUUACUGGGCGUAAAGCGCACGCAGGCGGUCUGUCAAGUCGGAUGUGAAAUCCCCGGGCUCAACCUGGGAACUGCAUUCGAAACUGGCAGGCUGGAGUCUUGUAGAGGGGGGUAGAAUUCCAGGUGUAGCGGUGAAAUGCGUAGAGAUCUGGAGGAAUACCGGUGGCGAAGGCGGCCCCCUGGACGAAGACUGACGCUCAGGUGCGAAAGCGUGGGGAGCAAACAGG
Molecule: ribosomal RNA, 429 nt
Filed under: Chloroflexota bacterium
Lineage: Bacteria; Bacillati; Chloroflexota
Description: Chloroflexi bacterium partial 16S ribosomal RNA
Rfam family: Bacterial small subunit ribosomal RNA
Source: RNAcentral